Molecule: unclassified non-coding RNA, 641 nt
Filed under: Hevea brasiliensis (rubber tree)
Lineage: Eukaryota; Viridiplantae; Streptophyta; Magnoliopsida; Malpighiales; Euphorbiaceae
Source: RNAcentral
GGCACAGGUGGUACUGGCUGCAUGGAAGGUGGAGGUGGAGCAGCAGCAGGGGGUGCAGGUGCAGGAGCAGGUUCAGGUAGUGGUCUUGGUAAAAUGUGCUUCAAUCGGUUGUUUCUAUAGUUCUUCCAGAAAAAGAAUUGCUGCCUAUGUGCCAACUCCUUGUUGCCAGGAUGUGCCAUUGCGUCGCGGAAGUUUGCAUUUUGCAGCAAUUCAAGAAAAAAUAGGCAAUGAGGAUACAUUAUAAACUUUAUGUACUCAGGUCGUUGCCAGUACUGAAGGUAUUUCAAGUACCCAAUAAAUGCUUCAUCUUCAAAAUAGCGAUUCUGAGCCAAAUAAUGGAUAUAAGUGGGAUUAGCUAGACAUUGGACAAAUUCCAACUCAAGCAAAAACCGUUGUCGCCCAUCAUCUGGAUCCUUGUAUAUGCUCUUUGGCGACGAUGGAGUGUCGGGAGUCUCAUCGGUUUCUUUAGAAGAAGAAGAAGAAGGAGCCAUUUAGCCCUUCGUCUAGGAACAAAGGAAGUGAGAAGCACAGUUAGAAAUCACCUUAGUUGCGGUUCCCGGAAAAUCUAAUCAGAGGGCGAGAGACACCACAGUCAAGAGCAGCGCGAUUACAAGCACGCUGCUUAGGAUUUGCUGCUUUAU